UUGUGGGAUGCAAAAUGGCUCAAUCGUGUUGUCAGCAGAGGAGCCAGCCAGUUAUCUCUUAUAGCCAUACAGUUACAUUUACAAAUAAGUACAGUCGAUAAAGUAUUGCUAAUAAUUGUUUAGAGAAUAUCACUUUGAUAAACAGCAACUUUUUAUUUGCAUUCGCCUCUUUUGGCCGAGACAACAGCCACCAUGUCCAGCAAAGUAGACAAAGUGAAAAGUGAGUCCAGUAUAAUACGUUUUGAAAGAAAAAGUACCACUACUGAGUCUGCCACAAGAGGAAAUGACAGAGGAAGUACUGAGUCUGCCACAAGAGGAAAUGACAGAAGAAGUACUGAGUCUGCCACAAGAGGAAAUGACAGAAGAAGUACUGAGUCUGCCACAAGAGGAAAUGACAGAAGAAGUACUGAGUCUCCCACAAGAGGAAAUGACAGAAGAAGUACUGAGUCUGCCACAAGAGGAAAUGACAGAAGAAGUACUGAGUCUGCCACAAGAGGAAAUGACAGAAGAAGUACUGAGUCUGCCACAAGAGUAAACGACAGAAGAAGUACUGAGUCUGCCACAAGAGGAAAUUACAGAAGAAGUCCUGGGUCUGCCACAAGAGGAAACGACAGAAGAAGUUCUGGGUCUGCCACAAGAGGAAAUGAUAGAAGAAGUACUGAGUCUGCCACAAGAGGAAAUUACAGAAGGAGUACUGAGUCUGCCACAAGAGGAAAUGACAGAAGAAGUACUGAGUCUGCCACAAGAGGAAAUGACAGAAGAAGUACUGAGUCUCCCACAAGAGGAAAUGACAGAAGAAGUACUGAGUCUGCCACAAGAGGAAAUGAUAGAAGAAGUACUGAGUCUGCCACAAGAGGAAAUUACAGAAGGAGUACUGAGUCUGCCACAAGAGGAAAUGACAGAAGAAGUACUGAGUCUGCCACAAGAGGAAAUGAUAGAAGAAGUACUGAGUCUGCCACAAGAGGAAAUUACAGAAGGAGUACUGAGUCUGCCACAAGAGAUGACAGAAGAUCACCAAGCACAGGGAAAGAAAAAAGGAAAACGAAACAGAGCCACAGUAGAUCAUCUUCCUCAUCCAGCUCAUCAUCAUCAUCCUUGUCAUCCUCGUCAUCCUCAUCCCACUCUUCAUCCCACAGUAGGAGUAGUUCCAGCAGCAGUGAUUCCCACAACAAAUCCAGAAGGAAUUCUAAGAAAAGGAAAAAGGAAAAACAACACAAGAAGAAAGGGAAAAAGGAGAAGAAGUAUAAACGAAAGAAGGACAAGAAAAUGACACCAGAGGAAGAAAGCGCUGGACCUGGACCUAUUCAGAUCUCCAAGUAUUUAAAGGAGAGGAGGAGAAAAGGCAAGUACAGCAUGAUCACAGGAAAGAAGAUCAAAAUGAAAUUGAAGAAGUCCAAGAAAGACAAGCUGAGGGACAAGAAUCGCGCCGAACUGCUUGAGUUCCUCAACUCCACGUUGUAAUGCAAAGGGCCGUCACCGUUGGUUAUGUUCCAGAACCUUCCAAUUUUUGUCCAGAACAGAACUCAGGGAAAGACGACCAUUUUGAUGAAGCUCUGAACUAACAUCCAUUUACAGGGUUAUUAUUAUCACUGCAAGAUAUGUGGGACAUGGCCUGUCAUCUCAAAAUGACAAAAUGUGCCAUGUCUCUCUUUUAGAAAAAGCGUGUUGUCACUCCUGUGGUUGUCGGCCCCUUUCUUCAGACCAAUGGAGACUGCUGAAGGAGAACGGCUCAUAAUAAUGGCUGGAACGGAGCCAAUGGAACGGCAUCAAACCAUGUGUAUUCGAUGCCAUUCCACCAAUUCCGCUCCAGCCAUUACCACAAGCCCGUCCUCCCCAAUUAAGGUGCCACCAACCUCCUGUGCUUCACACUGUUUGUAACUGAUGUCUGUGUGUUUGGUCUUUAGAAUUGUAAUUUUACUAUAACAUCAAAGGAGCCAGUCACUGACUUUUUAUCAGUAUGUUUGCUGCACAAGGUGUUGCUAAGCAAGUUAGAACAGUGUUGCUGUGGUGGAGACUACAGAUCAGCAAAGAUCUGAGUGAUGAACAAUAUACCUGGGUUCAAAUAGUAUCGGUUUUCUUUUAAGUACUUCGGUUGAUGAAGCUUGCCUGGCACAGUGGAACAAAAGGAAAAGUGCCAACCCGUCCAUCGUUCACGCCAGCAGGCUCAAGAGCUUAAAGUAUUUGAAAGCAAAUACUAUUUGAACCCAGGUCUGAUGAACAAAGAGAUUUGGGUACAUUUUAUUGUAACGUAAUCCUUCAAAUAGAACACCAGUCCGGCAUUGCAUUGUGUUUGAUGAUGAAAUAUGUUUUUCUAGUUGUUUUAAGAAGGUCCAAAACAGUCCUGCAGCUAUACUCUGGUCCCCUGGAAUGUAGUUAUUGUUAGAUAUAUUGAUUAUCAGAGAAUAAUGUAUAGUAUGUACAAAUCUGAGACUGGAAGCUGGAUGUCAUCACAUGUAAUACUAUAAAUCAAUAUUAUUUUGGAUGAGCUUUUUAUAUUUUGUGAAGCCCACUUGAUGUGGCAAACUGCUACAGUCCACCCAAUAAAGCAGCUCUUCUCUCAA
Oncorhynchus masou masou (cherry salmon) is the source of this 2561-nucleotide long non-coding RNA. RefSeq lists it as uncharacterized. NCBI's taxonomy places the organism in Eukaryota, Metazoa, Chordata, Actinopteri, Salmoniformes, Salmonidae. The record is from RefSeq and is a predicted model, not a curated record. The transcript has 7 exons.